Molecule: long non-coding RNA, 3043 nt
Organism: Rhineura floridana
Lineage: Eukaryota; Metazoa; Chordata; Lepidosauria; Squamata; Rhineuridae
Exons: 4
Source: RefSeq, a predicted model, not a curated record
ACUCAGCCUGACAAAUGUGUUACUGACUACGUGUAUUCCUCUGAACAAGACCAACGUUAUCAUUAUUUUGAAAAAAUUGGAAGAAGCAUGUCAUCGUACAGGGCAACCAAGACAGUUUGCUUACCAAAACCAGGCCUGAAUCCCGACUGAAAUGGAUCUAGAAAAUUUGCUGUUAAAAACAUCUUGAAAAUGAGUCCACUUGAGAGGAGCAGGAUAAGGGAAGAACCAGAAUAGGUGGAGGCCACACAACCUUUCCUUCAUCAGAGAAGCAACUGUGACAGCAGGAAUCUCUUCUGAACCAAAAGAAGUUUUUGAAAAAGAACACAGAGUAUAUACAAAUCAGUCGAAUGAAGGCAUGUCAUCAUGAGUCAGUAAAUCAACCCUCUUCCAUCACAAGCAGUAAUAUGCAAUUCAAAAAUAAAAUCCAAAAGGGAGAAGCAUUAAAAGAAACAUCCCCUCCAGAGCCCAGCAUGAGUAGAAGGAGGGCGAAGACAACCAAAGUCAUACUAUCGAAAUUAUUAUGUUUUGCCAUACCAUAUACAAUCCUCCAAUAAUACGUAAAAUGUUCAGAGAGAGCAAUGUCCCAGACUUGGGACCACCACCCCUCUCUAGAAGGGCCUGACUCACCCUUCCAUUUGCUGGCUGCUUCCAAACAUACGGCCAUCAAAAGCAAGGAUACCAGGUCGUUGUGGUGGACCAUUGGAUUAGUAUGACUCUCCAAAGACAACAGAGCUAAAAAAGAAUCCGGACUCAGACAUUGGAAAGUGAUACCAGAGAUUUGCUCAAAAACCCAGACCCCAAAUUGCCAAAUGUUAUCACAGUCCCACCAGAGGUGUACCAGGGUUCCAAUGCCCCCAAGCCCUCUCCAGCACUGCUAGGAAGACGUCUGGUGGAUGUGAGAGAGCCUCACUGGAGUCCAAUGCCAAUGCCACAAGAUUUUUAGUGAGGCCUCUUGAAUUCUCACAAAAUUGUGUUUAGAGGGGCCUUUCUCCAGCUCCUAUCCCAAGCCUCAACAUCUAUUGAUAUAGUGAGGUCUCCCUCCCGGGCAAGUCUCAAACCCUCCAUACCUUCCAUUUCAAGCAAUUAUGAAUAUAUCAAUGAAACGAACCCCUUCAAAUGGGAGCUGCCUUGAACACAGAGUGAUUGAUUAGUUUUAAUUGCUUUGUGUUGGGGGCAUUGUUUUGCACUGAAGGCAUAGGCUAAAGCUCUAUGUAUAGGUCAUGGAAAGGGGGAAAGAGAGAGAGAGGACAGUGAAACUGAAAGAAUGGAACAAUCUGUUUCAUUUUGAUUGCAACUAGGCUGUGUGUGUGCACAUUUUAAUUGCCUUUACAAUAGGGACCCUUUGUCUUCUCUGUCAGAAAUUUGUUAGGGUCUGAUUUCCUGGGGCGAGAUUGUAGUGCCUGAAUAUUCCGUGCUAUUUUAUUAGAAAACACCAAAGCUACAGGCAGCAGAAGACUGGCUGGGCCUUCCCUUGAAAUCAAUGGAAGAAAUGAAUGAACCAAUUAACAAGCCAACGAAUGGGCUAAUGCAAUUCAAACUAACAGAAAAUGAAAUGAAUGUAAACUUAAAAAUGAAAACCUAUUGAAUUUUUCUCCUUUGCAUCGCAUAGUUUAAAGAAAUGCUUACUUUUCUCCUGUAACAUCUGGAUGCCAGUUGCUCGGGCUUUAUAAAAAGCCACCAUACGUUAUAAACUUUGAAACACAAAGAAGUUAAGGAGCAAAGUACAGGUCCCUUCUAAUAGCAACAGAAUAUAACACUCAGUUCUAAUCUAACCAAGAAGAUUGAAAAUGGUGCUUAAGAGAAUGGCAUGAGUAACUGAAGAGAACUGACUGAGUGGACUUUCCUUGGCAUGAAUUAUGGGCUGGCAGGAUAAGGAUUUGUAUCAUGCUGGGAGAUUAGGCAAGGAUGAAAGCAUUUGAAAUUUGACUGAACACUAGACAUAACUCAUUACUUGUGAGCUGUCACAUAAGGCAUCGAGAUUUCAAGAAGGCUCUGUGGUUGGAAUUUUAUACCUCAGUUCUUCAGGACAGUAGGGUUGCAUUUACUGUCUCCAUUCGCACAGCAAGAGACAUACACUCUAUCUUUCCAUUCAAAUUGACCAGCUAUCAAGAGAAAGCGUCUCUGCGGAAAAGCAAGCCCUUAUUUUUUUCUGGCAUGCCUCUGAACAAACAGCAAUUAAUCUUUGUCUUUGUGCACUCAAACCCUUUCUGAUUGGUGACUAACCUCUGGCCACUUGUGCUUAGGAUCUCUGUGGGUUUAUUUGUACUCUUUCUGAACAGCAUCUCUACGGGGGCUUGGCUACAGGUGACCCUUGGAAUCGUGCAGCUGUGCAAUGACAAUUUGGCGCCAGUAAAACUGAGCCCCCUUCAGCUGGCUCCCUGGACAUAUGGCACAACCAUCUGUAGCAACAACCGUUGUCUCCACACCCCUACACCCCGGCACACAACAUGCAGUAUGUUGACUGGAAUGGGAAUUUGGCACUGAAUGGGCAAACAGAGAUGAAUUAUUUAGUAGCCCGUUUUAUAACGUAUUCAUAAUUCACACAGUUGCUGUGAUGUUCUCUGUGGAGGACGUGGUGAAUGUUCCCAUACAAAAUAGCUCGGGGGCAACAGUUAAUAGAAAUCACUAUAUCAGAUGUCAAGUCUGCUUUCUUUCACCGGAGUACAUUGGUCUAUACUUUCUCCAAAAGGACUGCCUUCGUGAAAGAAAAGGAAAGGCAAGAAAAGUGUGUGUGUGUGUGGGGGGGGAAUCUGCAAAGUGAUUAAGGUGGCUUCACAGGUAUGCUUUAAAUGUGACACACAUUUUUUCACAGGUUCCUAUUUCACCAAAGUUAUGUAGAAGUGUUGUGAUGGAAAGAAAGCACAAUAUUGCACUUAGGUCCUCUCUGACCACCUUACACAGGCAACAGAAUGAGGUGGUAUAGCUUAUUGUGGGUGUGGGAUGCCUGUUUUGAAUAUUCUGCCUAUGUAAAAACAAAAUAAAUCCUACGAAUAGAAACUAGCACAGCAAAAAGAAGGAUGCACUAGAAUCUUAAUUCUCUCUC